UGCCCGCUCCCUCAGUUGUUAGCCUUUGGAGAGGUUAAGUACGUGAAUUGUUGAAGGGAACGCUUGCAGCCAGACUUGUCCGCCGUUGCUCAGCCGGUCUCCUGACCGGUGUACUCUUCUGCGGCCUGCCAGCAUCAGUUCGGGCGGUCGGAUAAAGACCUCGGGAAUGUACUCCUCUCGGGGAGUGUUUAGCCCGGGGUGGAUGCGGCCGCCUGGACUGAGGACUCGCUUCGGCUAGGAUGCUGGGUAUGGCUGUAGCGCCCGUCUUGAACACGGACAAGACUCUAUUACAAUAAACGGGGGGGGGG
This 308-nucleotide ribosomal RNA is filed under the name Botryosphaeria dothidea. RNAcentral describes it as "eukaryotic LSU rRNA". Lineage: Eukaryota; Fungi; Ascomycota; Dothideomycetes; Botryosphaeriales; Botryosphaeriaceae. The record is from RNAcentral.